GAUGAACGCUAGCUACAGGCUUAACACAUGCAAGUCGAGGGGAAACGCCAUCGAAAGCUUGCUUUUGAUGGGCGUCGACCGGCGCACGGGUGAGUAACGCGUAUCCAACCUGCCCAUCACUUGGGAAUAACCUUGCGAAAGUAAGACUAAUACCCAAUGAUAUCCCACGAAGGCAUCGGAAUGGGAUUAAAGAUUUAUCGGUGAUGGAUGGGGAUGCGUCUGAUUAGCUUGUUGGCGGGGUAACGGCCCACCAAGGCAACGAUCAGUAGGGGUUCUGAGAGGAAGGUCCCCCACAUUGGAACUGAGACACGGUCCAAACUCCUACGGGAGGCAGCAGUGAGGAAUAUUGGUCAAUGGGCGAGAGCCUGAACCAGCCAAGUAGCGUGCAGGAAGACGGCCCUAUGGGUUGAAAACUGCUUUUAGAAGGGAAUAAAGUGGGUCACGUGUGACUUUUUGCAUGUACCUUAUGAAUAAGGACCGGCUAAUUCCGUG
This 492-nucleotide ribosomal RNA is filed under the name uncultured bacterium. RNAcentral describes it as "partial 16S ribosomal RNA". It matches the Rfam family "Bacterial small subunit ribosomal RNA", at positions 28 to 507 of the family's 1533-position model. The record is from RNAcentral.